RNAcentral lists this ribosomal RNA (380 nucleotides) under uncultured bacterium. RNAcentral's name for it is "bacterial SSU rRNA". It matches the Rfam family "Bacterial small subunit ribosomal RNA", at positions 28 to 412 of the family's 1533-position model. The record is from RNAcentral.
GAUGAACGCUGGCGGCGUGCCUAACACAUGCAAGUCGAACGGAGUCUCCGCAAGGGGGACUGAGUGGCGCACGGGUGAGGAACACGUAGCUGACCUGCCCUCCAGCGGGGGAUAACGUCCCGAAAGGGAUGCUAAGACCGCAUAAGCUCCCGAGGACUAGACACUCGCGAGAAAAAGCUUCGGCUACUGGGGGAGGGGCGUGCGGCCAUCAGGUAGUUGGUGUGGUAACGGCGCACCAAGCCGACGACGGGUCGGGGAUCUGAGAGGAUGAUCCCCCACACUGGGACUGAGACACGGCCCAGACUCCUACGGGAGGCAGCAGUGAGGGAUAUUGCACAAUGGGCGAAAGCCUGAUGCAGCGACGCCGCGUGGGUGAUGAA